GGAAUGGUGUCUGAGCGGUUGAAAGAGCUCGAUUGCUAAUCGAGUGUACAGCUUACGCUGUACCGAGGGUUCAAAUCCCUCCCAUUCCG
RNAcentral lists this transfer RNA (89 nucleotides) under Symbiochloris handae. Its description in RNAcentral is "tRNA-Ser". It matches the Rfam family "tRNA". From Rfam's summary of the family: Transfer RNA (tRNA) molecules are approximately 80 nucleotides in length. Their secondary structure includes four short double-helical elements and three loops (D, anti-codon, and T loops). Further hydrogen bonds mediate the characteristic L-shaped molecular structure. tRNAs have two regions of fundamental functional importance: the anti-codon, which is responsible for specific mRNA codon recognition, and the 3' end, to which the tRNAs corresponding amino acid is attached (by aminoacyl-tRNA synthetases). tRNAs cope with the degeneracy of the genetic code in two manners: having more than one tRNA (with a specific anti-codon) for a particular amino acid; and 'wobble' base-pairing, i.e. permitting non-standard base-pairing at the 3rd anti-codon position. The record is from RNAcentral. Lineage: Eukaryota; Viridiplantae; Chlorophyta; Trebouxiophyceae; Trebouxiales; Trebouxiaceae.